Molecule: ribosomal RNA, 327 nt
Filed under: Triticum aestivum (bread wheat)
Lineage: Eukaryota; Viridiplantae; Streptophyta; Magnoliopsida; Poales; Poaceae
Description: partial small subunit ribosomal RNA
Source: RNAcentral
AUGGGCCCCCGCGCACAUAUAGUAGAUUUCCGUGGUAAGUUCGUGACGCUGACGCCGUGGCCGUCAUCUUGUUGGGUCCGUGGCUCUGUGCCGUUGCUGUCGAAAGGGACGGCCAUUGCACCGAUCGGGUUAGGUGGCCCGGCCGGGACGUACGAACUCGCGCACGCGUGCCGCAGAUGCGCCCAGAAAGAGGGCCCAAACCAACGGCCGCUUGGACGCCUUUCCUCUUGGCAUCCUCUUUCCGGGAGAAUCUGGUACGGUAUUAUUGCGACCCGACUAUACGUUGCCUCUAGCUUCAUGUGUAGAUCGACGAUGGCCUCAAAAUAA